Long non-coding RNA from Austrofundulus limnaeus, 378 nucleotides. RefSeq lists it as uncharacterized. The transcript has 3 exons. The record is from RefSeq and is a predicted model, not a curated record. Lineage: Eukaryota; Metazoa; Chordata; Actinopteri; Cyprinodontiformes; Rivulidae.
UGAAAUAAGGAUAAAUUUUAAAGGAUCUCAUGACAAGUUACAGCAACAAUGGAGUUUUCAACCAAGCUUACCAUGACAGUGAGACACUGGAAAUUGUUAGGCCUUCCAGGAAAUCCAACCACACUAAUCCAUACACGAAUGAAGACUUAACACUAUGGGGUGAAAGACCCGAUGUAAGAAAUGCUGAACGUGGAGCACACAGAGGAGGCUGGCAGGAUGAGAGCUGGAAGGUGGGCGAAAACAUCCCAAUGGGCCUCAUCAGCACCGAUUCAGACAGAACUUCAUGGCAGCAGAACCUCCAUCACAGCUCGUUUCAGAUUGACAGUGAUUCUCACUAUGACCCAUCAGCAGCUGUUCGACGUCUCUCUUCAGUGUCAG